CUGAUGAACUAAGUACGAGGCUGUUUUAUCAUGGUCUUCAUUUUAUCGUUAUAAACCU
This is a non-coding RNA of Myotis brandtii (Brandt's bat), 58 nucleotides long. Lineage: Eukaryota; Metazoa; Chordata; Mammalia; Chiroptera; Vespertilionidae. The record is from Rfam.